This 433-nucleotide ribosomal RNA is filed under the name uncultured bacterium. Its description in RNAcentral is "partial 16S ribosomal RNA". It matches the Rfam family "Bacterial small subunit ribosomal RNA", at positions 29 to 507 of the family's 1533-position model. The record is from RNAcentral.
AACGAACGCUGGCGGCAUGCCUAACACAUGCAAGUCGAACGGGACCUUCGGGUCUAGUGGCGCACGGGUGCGUAACGCGUGGGAACCUGCCCUUAGGUUCGGAAUAACUCCCCGAAAGGGGUGCUAAUACCGGAUAAUGUCUUCGGACCAAAGAUUUAUCGCCUUUGGAUGGGCCCGCGUUGGAUUAGCUAGUUGGUAGGGUAAAAGCCUACCAAGGCGACGAUCCAUAGCUGGUCUGAGAGGAUGAUCAGCCACACUGGGACUGAGACACGGCCCAGACUCCUACGGGAGGCAGCAGUGGGGAAUAUUGGACAAUGGGCGAAAGCCUGAUCCAGCAAUGCCGCGUGAGUGAUGAAGGCCUUAGGGUUGUAAAGCUCUUUUACCCGGGAUGAUAAUGACAGUACCGGGAGAAUAAGCUCCGGCUAACUACGUG